UAGAGUUUGAUCCUGGCUCAGGGUGAACGCUCGCGGUGUGGAUAAGGCAUGCAAGUCGUACGCCUAGUAACACUUUUGGUUUCCAAAAGUGUUACUAGACGUGGCAAACGGGGCAGUAACACGUGCCUAACCUACCCUGAAGACGAGGAUAACCCCCGAAAGGGGACUAAUCCUCGAUGGUCCUAUACUUACACAAGUAAGGAUAGGUAAAGGGGCGCAAGCCCGCUUCAGGAAGGGGGCGCGGCCGAUCAGCUAGUUGGUGAGGUAACGGCUCACCAAGGCUAAGACCGGUAGGGGGCCUGAGAGGGUGUCCCCCGCCAAGGGCACUGAGACACGGGCCCUACUCCUACGGGAGGCAGCAGCCGAGAAUCUUGGGCAAUGGGCGAAAGCCUGACCCAGCGACACCGCGUGGCGGAAGAAGCCCUUCGGGGUGUAAACGCCUUUUGUGUGGGAUGAAGCCCAGUGCAUUUUUGUGCUGGGUUGACAGUACCCCACGAAUAAGGGACGACUAACUUCGUGCCAGCAGUCGCGGUAAGACGAAGGUCCCGAGCGUUACCCGGAUUUACUGGGCGUAAAGGGCCCACAGGCUGGAGCAUAAGUCUUUCCUUAAAUCCUUGAGCCUAACUCAAGGACUGGGAAAGAUACUGUGCUCCUAGAGACUGCCAGAGGCCGGCGGAACGCACGGUGUAGGGGUGAAAUCCGUUGAUAUCGUGCGGAACGCCGAAGGCGAAGGCAGCCGGCUAGGGCAGUUCUGACGCUGAUUGGGCGAAAGCCAGGGGCGCGAACCGGAUUAGAUACCCGGGUAGUCCUGGCUGUAAACGCUGGGUGCUAACUCUGGGGAGAUUCGACCCUCUUUGGGGUAAAGCUAACGCGUUAAGCACCCCGCCUGGGAAGUACGACCGCAAGGUCGAAACUCAAAGGAAUAGGCGGAAGGCCGCACAAGCGGUGGACCAUGUGGUUCAAUUCGAUAGUAACCGAAAAAUCUUACCCAGGCUUGACAUGCUUGUCUUAAUGCUCAUUUCGAAAGAAAGGAGAAGCCGGAUUUUAUCCGGCGGGCAAGCACAGGUGCUA
RNAcentral lists this ribosomal RNA (1071 nucleotides) under uncultured Aquificales bacterium. RNAcentral's name for it is "bacterial SSU rRNA". It matches the Rfam family "Bacterial small subunit ribosomal RNA", at positions 1 to 1043 of the family's 1533-position model. Lineage: Bacteria; Pseudomonadati; Aquificota; Aquificia; Aquificales. The record is from RNAcentral.